This 682-nucleotide small RNA is filed under the name Pongo abelii (Sumatran orangutan). Its description in RNAcentral is "retained intron". Lineage: Eukaryota; Metazoa; Chordata; Mammalia; Primates; Hominidae. The record is from RNAcentral.
UCGAUCUGUCCCAAGCAUUCAUGUUCCCUCACCAGCUGUACCUAAAUUAACAAUGGCGAAAUGCAGGCGAAAUGUGGAGAAUUUCCUAGAAGCUUGCAGAAAAAUUGGUGUACCUCAGGUAAUAAAUUUAUCAUUUUUUAUGUUGCCUAAAUAGACUUGGUUGUCCUAAAAUUUUAGAAAUGCAAAUCUCUAAAAUCUUAUAAGACUAGCUCUGAGCUAAGUCGAUCAUAAUUAACAUGACUUUGUGUUACAAGAGUCAGUAUACUUUUGAACAGUUUUCCUUGAUUAUUUCCAAGGACCACACAAAGAAAUUAUAAAUAUAUAAAUUGAAAUAAUUAUAAGUAAUUUGAAAUAAUUAUUCUAUUUUCCUAAACUUUCCCACUUGCUAUUUGACAACUAAAUAUAUCCUUCAAAAACUAAGUAUAUCUCAGAUUGAGAAUGCUGCAGUUGGCUUCAGUGUUCUAACACUUGCUUUGAUACUUUUUAAAAUCUUUUAGACUUCCAGAAAUGUUGAAAAAAUAGCCUAGAGUUCCUUUGUAUACUUCACUCAAUUUCUUCGAAUGUUAACUAACAUCUAAUACAAACAUAGGACAGUGAUUCAAACUAGGUAACACAAGAACAAUACGAUUAACUGAAUUAUAGUCUUUAUUUGGAUUUCAUCAGUUUUUCCACGAAGCUCUGG